AAAACCUAGGGCGCGAGCCCGGGC
This 24-nucleotide small nuclear RNA is filed under the name Arabidopsis thaliana (thale cress). RNAcentral describes it as "snRNA_18067". Lineage: Eukaryota; Viridiplantae; Streptophyta; Magnoliopsida; Brassicales; Brassicaceae. The record is from RNAcentral.